GGGGAUCUAGCUCAGGGGUAGAGCGCUUGCUUCGCAUUAAUUGCACUUGCAUGAGGUCUUGGGUUCGAUUCCCAAGUUCUCCA
Molecule: non-coding RNA, 83 nt
Organism: Microbotryomycetes sp. JL201
Lineage: Eukaryota; Fungi; Basidiomycota; Microbotryomycetes
Source: the annotation of a GenBank genome assembly